UACGUAGGUGGCAAGCGUUGUCCGGAUUUAUUGGGUUUAAAGGGUGCGUAGGCGGCCUUGUAAGUUAGUGCUGAAAUAUCCCGGCUUAACCGGGAGGGUGGCAUUGAUACUGCAGGGCUUGAGUAAAGUUGAGGUUGGCGGAAUUGACGGUGUAGCGGUGAAAUGCUUAGAUAUCGUCAAGAACACCUAUUGCGUAGGCAGCUAACUAAGCUUUAACUGACGCUGAGGCACGAAAGUGUGGGGAUCAAACAGG
This 253-nucleotide ribosomal RNA is filed under the name uncultured bacterium. RNAcentral's name for it is "partial 16S ribosomal RNA". It matches the Rfam family "Bacterial small subunit ribosomal RNA", at positions 524 to 776 of the family's 1533-position model. The record is from RNAcentral.